RNAcentral lists this long non-coding RNA (530 nucleotides) under Trifolium pratense (red clover). Its description in RNAcentral is "long non-coding RNA (TPRA_LNC011123)". The record is from RNAcentral. Lineage: Eukaryota; Viridiplantae; Streptophyta; Magnoliopsida; Fabales; Fabaceae.
AAAGGGGUUAAACAACGGAUAAGCAAUGAUAAGGGUGGCUAGAACAGGCUCAAGGUACCAAACAAAUUGCCUCGUGUGUACAUCACAACAAUAAAUCAAUUAAAGAGAACAUGCGCAAAUUCUAGAGACAUAGCUAAGUGUGGAAUUCUCAUAAUCAUCAAAAGAAAUCAGUGUUUGGGUUCAAAAUCUCACAGUUUUUGCUGAAUUAAACUAUGGUCAAUAUUUGUGAGAGUCCCUAAGCCUUGCCUAAAUCAUCACUAUGAUGCAUCCGAAACAAUCAAAAACAUCACAAAUUCAUAUCACACAUUUGGUCAACAAUUUUGAAUCUAAGAUGAUAGCCAAACAACUUUCAAUAGUGUGAAGUUUUCAAAAAGACUAAAACAUUCAAAGAAAACAAAACGACUAGCUCAAGUACUUAUUAUAGACCAACACCAAGCAUGCAACAAAUUAAACAAAGGAAUCAAAAUACACAGGCCAAAAAGAAUCUAUAGAGGAGAAGGACAGUAAAGGUGAAUGGCACAAAACCUCAA